RNAcentral lists this non-coding RNA (21 nucleotides) under Mus musculus (house mouse). Lineage: Eukaryota; Metazoa; Chordata; Mammalia; Rodentia; Muridae. The record is from RNAcentral.
UGUCUGCCUCGUUCCUGCAAC